ACAGCUUUGGACAAAAGUCUACAGCCAGUGCAUUUGAAAGUCCCCCUGCACCGGGGCUGACUGUAGCUGGGGAAAGACAUUUCACUCAUUCGCUCUUCCCUUUCAUGCACCAGCUGGUCCCUCUCCUCAGGUGUAGACCACCUAUUAUAAUUUCACCCAAUUUUGAUACUCUGAUGAGGAAAGUCCCAGGACUUCCCAGCUGGGAUAGGCCUCACAAGACAGCUGU
Molecule: non-coding RNA, 226 nt
Organism: Otolemur garnettii (small-eared galago)
Lineage: Eukaryota; Metazoa; Chordata; Mammalia; Primates; Galagidae
Source: Rfam